RNAcentral lists this ribosomal RNA (447 nucleotides) under uncultured bacterium. RNAcentral describes it as "partial 16S ribosomal RNA". It matches the Rfam family "Bacterial small subunit ribosomal RNA", at positions 329 to 792 of the family's 1533-position model. The record is from RNAcentral.
GACCAGACUCCUACGGGAGGCAGCAGUGGGGGAUAUUGCACAAUGGGGGGAACCCUGAUGCAGCGGCGCCGCGUGGGUGAAGGAGCGUUUCGGCGCGUAAAGCCCUAUCGGCAGGGAAGAAGGAGGACGGUACCUGACUAAGAAGCCCCGGCUAACUACGUGCCAGCAGCCGCGGUAAUACGUAGGGGGCAAGCGUUAUCCGGAUUUACUGGGUGUAAAGGGGGCGCAGACGGCAGCGCAAGCCAGGAGUGAAAGUCCGGGGCCCAACCCCGGGACUGCUCUUGGAACUGCGCGGCUGGAGUGCAGGAGGGGCAGGCGGAAUUCCUGGUGUAGUGGUGAAAUGCGUAGAUAUCAGGAGGAACACCGGUGGCGAAGGCGGCCUGCUGGACUGCGACUGACGUUGAGGCCCGAAAGCGUGGGGAGCAAACAGGAUUAGAUACCCGAGUA